Molecule: ribosomal RNA, 484 nt
Filed under: uncultured bacterium
Lineage: Bacteria
Description: partial 16S ribosomal RNA
Rfam family: Bacterial small subunit ribosomal RNA
Source: RNAcentral
AUUGAACGCUGGCGGCAGGCCUAACACAUGCAAGUCGAGCGGAUGAAGGGAGCUUGCUCCUGGAUUCAGCGGCGGACGGGUGAGUAAUGCCUAGGAAUCUGCCUGGUAGUGGGGGAUAACGUCCGGAAACGGGCGCUAAUACCGCAUACGUCCUGAGGGAGAAAGUGGGGGAUCUUCGGACCUCACGCUAUCAGAUGAGCCUAGGUCGGAUUAGCUAGUUGGUGGGGUAAAGGCCUACCAAGGCGACGAUCCGUAACUGGUCUGAGAGGAUGAUCAGUCACACUGGAACUGAGACACGGUCCAGACUCCUACGGGAGGCAGCAGUGGGGAAUAUUGGACAAUGGGCGAAAGCCUGACCCAGCCAUGCCGCGUGUGUGAAGAAGGUCUUCGGAUUGUAAAGCACUGUAAGUUGGGAGGAAGGGCAGUAAGUUAAUACCUUGCUGUUUUGACGUUACCAACAGAAUAAGCACCGGCUAACUUCGUG